Molecule: ribosomal RNA, 497 nt
Filed under: uncultured bacterium
Lineage: Bacteria
Description: bacterial SSU rRNA
Rfam family: Bacterial small subunit ribosomal RNA
Source: RNAcentral
AGUGAACGCUGGCGGCAUGCCUAACACAUGCAAGUCGAACGGCAGCACAGCAGUAGCAAUACUGUGGGUGGCGAGUGGCGGACGGGUGAGGAACACAUCGGAAUUUGCCCAGUCGUGGGGGAUAACGUAGGGAAACUUACGCUAAUACCGCAUACGACCUUACGGUGAAAGCGGGGGAUCGCAAGACCUCGCGCGGAUGGAUGAGCCGAUGUCGGAUUAGCUAGUUGGUGGGGUAAAGGCCUACCAAGGCGACGAUCCGUAGCUGGUCUGAGAGGAUGAUCAGCCACACUGGGACUGAGACACGGCCCAGACUCCUACGGGAGGCAGCAGUGGGGAAUAUUGGACAAUGGGGGCAACCCUGAUCCAGCAAUGCCGCGUGUGUGAAGAAGGCCUCGGUUGUAAGCACUUUAUCCGGUACGAACGUAGCGGGUGGAAUAGCCUCGUAAACUGACGGUACCGGAGGAAUAAGCACCGGCUAACUUCGUGCCAGCAGCCGC